GGUGGACCAUGGCUCAGUGGUAUUGCUCCUGCCUUUCAAGCAGAAUUUCCUGGGUUCAAGCCCCAGUGUCUCCA
Non-coding RNA from Podarcis lilfordi (Lilford's wall lizard), 74 nucleotides. The record is from the annotation of a GenBank genome assembly. Lineage: Eukaryota; Metazoa; Chordata; Lepidosauria; Squamata; Lacertidae.